RNAcentral lists this ribosomal RNA (506 nucleotides) under uncultured bacterium. RNAcentral's name for it is "partial 16S ribosomal RNA". It matches the Rfam family "Bacterial small subunit ribosomal RNA", at positions 28 to 523 of the family's 1533-position model. The record is from RNAcentral.
GACGAACGCUGGCGGCGUGCUUAACACAUGCAAGUGGAGCGACGAACCAGGGCUUGCCCUGGGGCAGAGCCGCGAACGGGUGAGUAACACGUGGGUAACCUGCCCCGAUGACCGGGACAACCCGAGGAAACUCGGGCUAAUACCGGAUGUGCUUGCGCCACAUCAGUGGUGUCAGGAAAGUUAGCUUCGGCUUCCGCAUCGGGAUGGGCCCGCGGCCCAUUAGCUUGUUGGUGAGGUAAUGGCUCACCAAGGCUUCGAUGGGUAGCUGGUCUGAGAGGACGAUCAGCCACACUGGGACUGAGACACGGCCCAGACUCCUACGGGAGGCAGCAGUGGGGAAUCUUGCGCAAUGCGCGAAAGCAUGACGGAGCGAUGCCGCGUGCGGGAUGAAGGCCCUUGGGUUGUAAACCGCUGUCAGAGGGGAUGAAAUCUCCGGAGGUUCUCCUCCGGAGUUGACAGAGCCUCAGAGGAAGCACGGGCUAAGUAUGUGCCAGCCGCCGCGGUAA